Molecule: ribosomal RNA, 1381 nt
Filed under: uncultured bacterium
Lineage: Bacteria
Description: bacterial SSU rRNA
Rfam family: Bacterial small subunit ribosomal RNA
Source: RNAcentral
GAGUUUGAUCCUGGCUCAGGAUGAACGCUGGCGGCGUGCCUAAUACAUGCAAGUCGAACGCAUCACUUCGGUGAUGAGUGGCGAACGGGUGAGUAAUACAUAAGUAACCUGGGCCAUACAGGGGGAUAACUGCUGGAAACGGCAGCUAAGACCGCAUAUGUGUAGAGAUCGCAUGAACUCUAUAUGAAAAGUGCUAAGGCACUGGUAAGGGAUGGACUAUGGCGCAUUAGCUAGUUGGCAGGGUAAAGGCCUACCAAGGCGACGAUGCGUAGCCGACCUGAGAGGGUGACCGGCCACACUGGGACUGAGACACGGGCCAGACUCCUACGGGAGGCAGCACCUAGGGAAUUUUCGGCAAUGGGGGAAACCCUGACCGAGCAACGCCGCGUGAAGGAAGAAGUAAUUCGUUAUGUAAACUUCUGUCAUACAGGGAGAACGGUGGAUAUAGGGAAUGAUAUCCAAGUGACGGUACUCUAUAAGAAAGCCACGGCUAACUACGUGCCAGCAGCCGCGGUUAUACGUAGGUGGCGAGCGUCAUCCGGAAUUAUUGGGCGUAAAGAGGGAGCAGGCGGCACUAAGGGUCUGUGGUGAAAGAUCGAAUCUUAACUUCGGUAAGCCAUGGAAACCGUAGAGCUAGAGUGUGUGAGAGGAUCGUGGAAUUCCAUGUGUAGCGGUGAAAUGCGUAGAUAUAUGGAGGAACCCAGUGGCGAAGGCGACGAUCUGGCGCAUAACUGACGCUCAGUCCCGAAAGCGUGGGGAGCAAAUAGGAUUAGAUACCCUAGUAGUCCACGCCGUAAACGAUGAGUACUAAGUGUUGGGGGUCAAACCUCAGUGCUGCAGUUAACGCAAUAAGUACUCCGCGUGAGUAGUACGUUCGCAAGAAUGAAACUCAAAGGAAUUGACGGGGGCCCGCACAAGCGGUGGAGCAUGUGGUUUAAUUCGAAGCAACGCGAAGAACCUUACCAGGUAUCGACAUCGAUCUAAAGGCUCCAGAGAUGGAGAGAUAGCUAUAGAGAAGACAGGUGGUGCAUGGUUGUCGUCAGCUCGUGUCGUGAGAUGUUGGGUUAAGUCCCGCAACGAGCGCAACCCAUGUUGCCAGUUGCCAGCAUUAAGUUGGGGACUCUGGCGAGACUGCCGGUGACAAGCCGGAGGAAGGCGGGGAUGACGUCAAAUCAUCAUGCCCCUUAUGACCUGGGCUACACACGUGCUACAAUGGACAGAGCAGAGGGAAGCGAACCCGCGAGGUGGAGCGAAACCCAGAAAACUGUUCUCAGUUCGGACUGCAGUCUGCAACUCGACUGCACGAAGAUGGAAUCGCUAGUAAUCGCGAAUCAGCAUGUCGCGGUGAAUACGUUCUCGGGCCUUGUACACACCGCCCGUC